RNAcentral lists this ribosomal RNA (754 nucleotides) under uncultured Oxalobacteraceae bacterium. Its description in RNAcentral is "bacterial SSU rRNA". It matches the Rfam family "Bacterial small subunit ribosomal RNA", at positions 28 to 776 of the family's 1533-position model. The record is from RNAcentral. Lineage: Bacteria; Pseudomonadati; Pseudomonadota; Betaproteobacteria; Burkholderiales; Oxalobacteraceae.
AUUGAACGCUGGCGGCAUGCCUUACACAUGCAAGUCGAACGGCAGCACGGGAGCUUGCUCCGGUGGCGAGUGGCGAACGGGUGAGUAAUAUAUCGGAACGUACCCUAGAGUGGGGGAUAACGCAGCGAAAGUUGCGCUAAUACCGCAUACGAUCUACGGAUGAAAGUGGGGGAUCGCAAGACCUCAUGCUCAUGGAGCGGCCGAUAUCUGAUUAGCUAGUUGGUGGGGUAAAGGCCUACCAAGGCAUCGAUCAGUAGCUGGUCUGAGAGGACGACCAGCCACACUGGAACUGAGACACGGUCCAGACUCCUACGGGAGGCAGCAGUGGGGAAUUUUGGACAAUGGGGGCAACCCUGAUCCAGCAAUGCCGCGUGAGUGAAGAAGGCCUUCGGGUUGUAAAGCUCUUUUGUCAGGGAAGAAACGGUGAGGGCUAAUAUCCUUUGCUAAUGACGGUACCUGAAGAAUAAGCACCGGCUAACUACGUGCCAGCAGCCGCGGUAAUACGUAGGGUGCAAGCGUUAAUCGGAAUUACUGGGCGUAAAGCGUGCGCAGGCGGUUAUGUAAGUCAGAUGUGAAAUCCCCGGGCUCAACCUGGGAAUGGCAUUUGAGACUGCAUGGCUAGAGUGUGUCAGAGGGGGGUAGAAUUCCACGUGUAGCAGUGAAAUGCGUAGAGAUGUGGAGGAAUACCGAUGGCGAAGGCAGCCCCCUGGGAUAACACUGACGCUCAUGCACGAAAGCGUGGGGAGCAAACAGG